GUCUUAUUGAUAAUAAUUUUAAGUCUAAUCUGCCCAAUGAUAAUUUAAAUGGCUGCAGUAUUUUAACUGUACAAAGGUAGCAUAAUAAUUAGUCUCUUAAUUAGGGACUAGAAUGAAUGAUUGAACGAGAUAAUAACUGUCUCUUAUUAAAUUAUAGAAUUUUAUUUUUAAGUUAAAAAGCUUAAAUAAUUUUAAAAGACGAGAAGACCCUAUAGAGUUUUAUAUUUAAUUUAUUAUAAAAUUUAGUUUAAAAUAUUUAUUUUUUAAAAUAAAUAUUUAAUUGGGGUGAUUAAAAAAUUUAAUUAACUUUUUUUAAAAAUUAUCAUAAAUUAAUGAAUUUUUGAUCCAAUAUUUUUGAUUAUAAGAUUAAAUUACCUUAGGGAUAACAGCGUAAUUUUUUUUAAGAGUUCUUAUCGAAAAAAAAGAUUGCGACCUCGAUGUUGGAUUAAAAUUAAUUUUUGGCGUAGAAGUUAAAAAAUUAGGUCUGUUCGACCUUUAAAAUUUUACAUGAUCUGAGUUUAAAUCGGCGUGAGCCAGGUUGGUUUCUAUCUUUAAAAAAUUAUUAUAUUUUAGUACGAAAGGACCAAAUAUUUAUAAAAUUUAUUUUAUAUUGAUUUA
RNAcentral lists this ribosomal RNA (618 nucleotides) under Catops andalusicus. RNAcentral describes it as "partial 16S ribosomal RNA". The stretch from base 382 to 540 matches the Rfam family "Bacterial large subunit ribosomal RNA", at positions 2473 to 2632 of the family's 2925-position model. The record is from RNAcentral. Lineage: Eukaryota; Metazoa; Arthropoda; Insecta; Coleoptera; Leiodidae.